GGGGCAGCCCGUGAGGGGAAAUGGCGGGGAGGGAGCGGAGCAGGCCGGGAAGCGGAGGAACAGGCAGAGUUUAUGAAUGAAGGUCCUCUGUCCUGCCUUCUUCCUUCAGAGCUGCACCAGCAGUGAUCUCAAGAGGGAGGAAACACUGUUAAAACCUUGUUGAAGCACCAGGAUGACCCAUCUGUUUCAUGUGUCUUUACAAAUACAGAAAUUACUCAUAAUACUAGAAAAUCCUCAAUCCUGUGGUAAUGAAAUCAGCUCAAUCUGAACUCAGCUUAUAGAAAAAAACAGCAAUAUUUACAAAGGGAAUAAAUCAGAUUAAUAAAAGGCAAAAGAGAUUUGGAGACCCCGUAUUGAUUGCCCUUCAAGGAACAUAGCAGCGUGUGGCAGCAGUGCCGACCGUGAUCCAGGGAGGCCGCCAGCAGCAGCAGGGAAAACAGAUCAGACAAGUCUCUGUUGUUUAGUAGGGGAGUCUGUUUUAUUCCACCCCGUGCCAGGGGGAGCAGAGGGGCAGAGGCCCGGGAGCUUGAGCAAAGCUUAGAGAGCCCAGAGCUGAGGGCAAGAGAGAGAAGUUCCCGUUACAAUACAAUAAAUCUUCUUCUGUGCUAAAUAUUCUAAUUUUCACUAACCA
Molecule: long non-coding RNA, 631 nt
Organism: Vidua macroura (Pin-tailed whydah)
Lineage: Eukaryota; Metazoa; Chordata; Aves; Passeriformes; Viduidae
Exons: 4
Source: RefSeq, a predicted model, not a curated record